GAUGAACGCUAGCUAUAGGCUUAACACAUGCAAGUCGAGGGGCAGCGAAUAGAUAGCUUGCUAUUUAUGUCGGCGACCGGCGCACGGGUGAGUAACGCGUAUCCAACCUGCCCAUAACUAAGGGAUAACCCAGCGAAAGUUGGACUAAUACCUUAUGUAUUCGUUUGAUCUCAUGAGAUUACGAAUAAAGAUUUAUCGGUUAUGGAUGGGGAUGCGUCUGAUUAGCUUGUUGGCGGGGUAACGGCCCACCAAGGCAACGAUCAGUAGGGGUUCUGAGAGGAAGGUCCCCCACAUUGGAACUGAGACACGGUCCAAACUCCUACGGGAGGCAGCAGUGAGGAAUAUUGGUCAAUGGACGCAAGUCUGAACCAGCCAAGUAGCGUGCAGGAUGACGGCCCUAUGGGUUGUAAACUGCUUUUAUAUGGGGAUAAAGUGGGGAACGUGUGCCCUUUUGCAGGUACCAUAUGAAUAAGGACCGGCUAAUUCCGUG
RNAcentral lists this ribosomal RNA (490 nucleotides) under uncultured bacterium. RNAcentral describes it as "partial 16S ribosomal RNA". It matches the Rfam family "Bacterial small subunit ribosomal RNA", at positions 28 to 507 of the family's 1533-position model. The record is from RNAcentral.